This 450-nucleotide long non-coding RNA is filed under the name Helianthus annuus (common sunflower). The record is from RNAcentral. Lineage: Eukaryota; Viridiplantae; Streptophyta; Magnoliopsida; Asterales; Asteraceae.
UUAUCUUUUCCGUGGAAGAAACUUCCUGCUGGGUAUGGUGAGUGGAUUAAGACGUUUGGUUAUCCAGAGAAGAAUGCAGUCAUCAGGACCCUCGAUGGGAGGACCUUUCAAGUCAAAGUGUUCAACCUUGCAGGCGACUACUUUUUUUACAAUGGCUGGUUUGAUGUCGUCACGUCAUUGAAAUUACCGGACGAUUCGUAGGUUGUUUGUCAGUAUGAAGAAGCUUUAUCUUCGUUCCGGCUGUUCCACUUUUAUCAAGACAUUUUUCUUGCGCCAUCUAACUACUUCUACUACAAACCUAAAAAUUAUUUUAAAGACCGAGACGACUGCAUGUAUGUGAACAGGUUGUUUGUUCAUCACUCGAUGCUGAAUACCUGUCCUUCAGAUCCUGUUUUGGUUCGUUCUGCUGGAAAUCGUAAAUGGGUUGUUCGGAUGGAAGUUUUAGACCAU